GCGAUCUGAGAUCGAUUAAUCGAAGAAUCGAUUUUUCGAGCAGAAAAUAUCGAUUUUUUAAAUCGAUAUGAAGUACUGUGUCGAUUCACUGAAUCGAUAUAUCACCCUUGAAAAUCGACAUUCGAUUUUUUCUGUUUUGGUAUAAACCAUACAAUUAUUUGCAUUUAGUUGAAUGUGCCUGAAUUAUAAGAGUGCUGCCGGUUAAAGAGUUAACUACUCAUAAACUCGCGAGAUGGCUGUAUGUUUAGUAUCCUUUACUCGCCUCUCUUUAAUAAAAAAGUUACGUUUGUAGUCUUUGACUUUAUGUAUUUAUAAUCUGUGACGAUUGAUAUUGCAUUAUUCAUUUGUUGUUGUCGUUUAAUGAAUACUGUUAUUAGCGUAAUAUAAGUAUUUUCAUGAUUGAUUUUCAUCAGAUUUUCAUGUAGUGUUUGUUGCGAAAUAAUAACUAAUUGAGAGUAGCAUGUCGGGUAGAAGUGAUUAAUGGAAUCAUUUUAUUAAAAAAGACUUCGGAGGCACAUGCAAAUAUUGUCACCAGGACGUAAAAACUAAGGGAAACACAACAAACUUGCGCAAUCAUUUAUUAAGACGUCAUCCAACAAUUCAGACCGUAAGUCUCAAAAAGAAGAGUGAAAGUGGUGGUGGUAAAUGUGGUAAUGCACGAAAUGAUAAUGGAAAUGAUCAAGUUGUUGAUGACAUGACUUUAGACAUCGUUCCAGUUCCAGAUUUGCAAAAUGUUGAUAAUUCGGAUGCUGAAAGCGUGGCUUCUUCUUCUACCAAUGUAUCAGUCUUAAAACAGCAAACAUUGACAUCUUGCUUAACAAAUAUAAAAUCAUUUGGAGAUACUGGUAUUAAGCGUGGUCAAAUAACCAAUGCAAUAGUCUUCAUGAUCGCAAAAGAUGGGUUGCCUUUAAAUACUGUGGAAAAAACAGGAUUUCGAUAUUUAAUGAAAGUAGUGGCACCACUUUAUAAAGUUCCAGCCAGAAAAACAAUGACCCACAUGAUUGACGAUAAAUAUGACAUUCUUUCGACACAACUGAAACUAAAAAUACAAGAAGUAGAAGCACUAUCUUUAACUGCAGAUGUUUGGACUGACUCGCAUAAUAGUCAAAGCUACUUAGGCUUAACUGGUCAUUGUAUAUAUGAAAGUAAAUUAUUGAGCAUAGUUUUUGGUGUAACUGCUCUAACAGAACCACACAAUGCUGACUACUUAGCACAAGUUAUUAUCAAUAUGACGGAAAAAUGGGGCAUCACAAGUAACAAAGUGGUAGCGUUUAUCACGGACAAUGGCGCUAAUAUCGUUAAAGCUGUCACAAAUGUUUAUGGCAAAAA
This is a long non-coding RNA of Leptidea sinapis, 1329 nucleotides long. RefSeq lists it as uncharacterized. The transcript is spliced from 4 exons. Lineage: Eukaryota; Metazoa; Arthropoda; Insecta; Lepidoptera; Pieridae. The record is from RefSeq and is a predicted model, not a curated record.